This 253-nucleotide ribosomal RNA is filed under the name uncultured bacterium. RNAcentral describes it as "partial 16S ribosomal RNA". It matches the Rfam family "Bacterial small subunit ribosomal RNA", at positions 524 to 776 of the family's 1533-position model. The record is from RNAcentral.
GACGUAGGGCGCGAGCGUUGUCCGGAUUUAUUGGGCGUAAAGAGCUCGUAGGCGGCUUGUUGCGUCGACUGUGAAAACCCGCGGCUUAACUGCGGGCUUGCAGUUGAUACGGGCAGGCUAGAGUUCGGUAGGGGAGACUGGAAUUCCUGGUGUAGCAGUGAAAUGCGCAGAUAUCAGGAGGAACACCGGUGGCGAAGGCGGGUCUCUGGGCCGAUACUGACGCUGAGGAGCGAAAGCGUGGGGAGCGAACAGG